AUGGCAGGGACGGCGGUGAGCAUGGCGAGGUCCAUGCUGGGGGGUGCCAUGUCCAAGGCCGCCUCUGCCGCCGCCGCCGAGAUGAGCUUGUUGAUGGGUGUGCGAAAGGAUAUCUGGUUCAUUAAAGAUGAGCUAGAGACGAUGCAGGCAUUUCUGCUGACUGCCGAAGCGAUUAAGAUGAAAGACAUUCUGCUGAAGGUGUGGGCGAAGCAGGUGAGAGACUUAUCGUACAAUAUUGAAGAUUGCCUUAGUGAAUUCAUGGUGCAUGUGACAAGCCAAAGCUUGUCGCGGCGGCUGAUGAAGCUCAAAGACCGCCAUCAGAUCGCCAUGCAGAUCCGUGACCUCAAACUCAGAGUUGAAGAAGUAAGCAUUAGGAAUACACGCUACAACUUGAUCAAGACGGAGGCCUCCAACAGCGUUGGGGAGGUGGAUUCCUACAGGGAAGAUGUCCGCAAUCACGCGGCUAGCAACAUUGAUGAAGCAGAACUUGUGGGCUUUUCCAAGCCUAAGGAGGAGUUGAUAAACCUGAUGGAUGUCAACACUGAAGAUGGUUCUCCCAAGGUAAUAUGUGUUGUCGGCAUGGGUGGUUUAGGAAAGACUACUCUUGCAAGGAAGACAUAUGAAAGUAAGGAAGAUAUUGUGCAAAAAUUCUCUUGUGUUGCUUGGAUCACAGUAUCACAUUCAAUUUUCAAGAUAGAGAUGCUCAAGGAUAUGAUCAGACAACUUUUGGGACCCGAGUCACUGAAGAAAUGCUUGAAAGAACUUAAAGGGAAGGCAGUGCAAGUGGGUGACCUCUCCAAGUACCUCAUGGAAGAGCUCAAGGAUGAAAGGUAUUUUAUUGUUUUUGAUGACUUGUGGACCAUAGAUAUGUGGAGGUGGAUCCAAGAAUUUGCUGUUGCUAGCAAUAAUAGGAAAGGCAGUCACAUAGUAGUAACAACACGAGAUAUGGGCUUAGCUAAGGAGUGUUCUCGUGACUCACAUAUCUACCAACUCAAACCUCUACAACCAGUUGAUGCUGCAAAUUUGUUACUAAGAAAGAGUAGGAAAAGGCAGGAAGACAUGGAGAGAGAUGGGAACAUAGUUGAAAAAUUAGUUAAAAAGUGUGGUGGUUUACCAUUGGCUAUACUCAUGGUAGGUGGCGUCCUUGCCACAAAAAAGGUAGCUGAAUGGAGACAAUUUUAUGAUCAUCUCCCUUCAGAGCUUGAGACUAACCCCAGCCUUGAAGCAAUGAGGAGGAUGGUUACUCUGAGCUACAACCACCUACCAUCUCAUCUAAAGUCGUGCUUUUUGUACCUAAGCAUCUUCCCUGAGGAUUUUGAAAUUAAGAGAAGGCCUCUAGUAGAUAGAUGGAUAGCUGAGGGGUUCAUCAAAGCUAGGGGUAGGGUAAACAUCGAGGAUGUUGGAAAAAGUUAUUUCAUUGAGCUAAUCAACCGGAGCAUGAUUAUACCAUCAAGAGUGAAUGUGGAAGGAACCGUUAAGAGCUGUCGAGUCCAUGAUAUCAUGCGUGAUGUCAUGGUUUCAGUUGCUAGAGAUGAAAAUUUUGUGUACUUGACCGCGGACGAUAAUUUAACUAGUGUGACAGAGGAGAAUUUUCGUCAUGUAUCAUACCAUGGUAGAAAGUUCCUAAAGGAAUGCAUAGAUUGGAGGCAUGUCCGGUCAUUAACUAUGUUUGGUGAGAGACCCAUAGAGCCACCAGCUCCCCCUUUUUCACCUAGCACGGGAAUGCUUAGAGUCCUGGAUCUACAUGGUGCACAUUUCAGAAUCACAAAGAAAGAUAUCAAGGACAUAGGAUUGUUACGCCACUUGAAGUAUUUGAAUAUUGGAAGUGCUAAAGCAUAUUCAAAUAUUUAUAGAAUUCCGAGAUCUAUAGGAAAAUUAAAAGGUUUGCAGACUUUGGAGAUAAGAAUGACAGAUAUAUCAACGAUACCAAAUGAGAUUUGUAACCUUCAGAGUCUCCGUAGCAUCCGGUGUAAGAAAACACAUUGGUGGUCCUAUCUUGGUCUUCAGCCCUCUAUGGGGUGCUUGAUGGACAUGAUGUAUCAUCAGAUGAUUACUCGUAAUUCUCAUGAAAAAGCUUUGAAGCCACGCAUGCCUUGCUUUAGGCAUUGGUCAAUAUACAAAGGUGUAAGUGUGCCGAGAGGGAUUAGCAAGUUACAAGAGUUACAAACACUAGAGGUUGUGGACAUCAAACGGAGUGAUGCCAAUGCAAUUAAAGAGCUAGGUGAGCUUGUGCAGCUAAAAAAACUUGGGGUGGUAACGAAAGAGGCCACCGAGCAAAAAUGCAAGUUGCUUUGUGCAGCUAUCGAGAAGUUCACUUCCCUGUGCUCUCUUAAUGUGGAUGCGGACAAUCAUGGCUCUCUCGAGUGGCUGCAUUCUGUUUCCUCUCCCCCCUACCCAUGA
RNAcentral lists this ribosomal RNA (2400 nucleotides) under Triticum aestivum (bread wheat). Its description in RNAcentral is "partial small subunit ribosomal RNA". Lineage: Eukaryota; Viridiplantae; Streptophyta; Magnoliopsida; Poales; Poaceae. The record is from RNAcentral.